RNAcentral lists this ribosomal RNA (475 nucleotides) under uncultured organism. Its description in RNAcentral is "partial 16S ribosomal RNA". It matches the Rfam family "Bacterial small subunit ribosomal RNA", at positions 331 to 797 of the family's 1533-position model. The record is from RNAcentral.
GUACACUCCUGCGGGAGGCAGCAGUGGGGAAUUUUGGACAAUGGGCGAAAGCCUGAUCCAGCCAUGCCGCGUGCAGGAUGAAGGCCUUCGGGUUGUAAACUGCUUUUGUACGGAACGAAACGGCCUUUUCUAAUAAAGAGGGCUAAUGACGGUACCGUAAGAAUAAGCACCGGCUAACUACGUGCCAGCAGCCGCGGUAAUACGUAGGGUGCAAGCGUUAAUCGGAAUUACUGGGCGUAAAGCGUGCGCAGGCGGUUAUGUAAGACAGUUGUGAAAUCCCCGGGCUCAACCUGGGAACUGCAUCUGUGACUGCAUAGCUAGAGUACGGUAGAGGGGGAUGGAAUUCCGCGUGUAGCAGUGAAAUGCGUAGAUAUGCGGAGGAACACCGAUGGCGAAGGCAAUCCCCUGGACCUGUACUGACGCUCAUGCACGAAAGCGUGGGGAGCAAACAGGAUUAGAUACCCCAGUAGUCCCA